UUUCAAUUCCAAUAUAAAACAAGGAAAGUUGUUGGUUCCUUAUUGAAAAAAAAUGCUAUUGAUACUGAUUCUUCUUUUCAGUAUUGCAUGUGGCAAGCCACAGAAGCAUGAUGUAGUGGAUAGAAAAGAAGUGACCCCAAGUUUUUUCGAAGAUAUAUACCACGAAAUCAAUAAUGUUUUCUCUGAAGCGAUAUCAGGACUGAGACGACUCAAUGAGAAAAGAAGAAAAUUUUUCGGUGA
Leptinotarsa decemlineata (Colorado potato beetle) is the source of this 240-nucleotide long non-coding RNA. Lineage: Eukaryota; Metazoa; Arthropoda; Insecta; Coleoptera; Chrysomelidae. The record is from RefSeq and is a predicted model, not a curated record.